Molecule: ribosomal RNA, 390 nt
Filed under: uncultured bacterium
Lineage: Bacteria
Description: bacterial SSU rRNA
Rfam family: Bacterial small subunit ribosomal RNA
Source: RNAcentral
UGAGUGAUGAAGGCCCUAGGGUUGUAAAGCUCUUUCACCGGUGAAGAUAAUGACGGUAACCGGAGAAGAAGCCCCGGCUAACUUCGUGCCAGCAGCCGCGGUAAUACGAAGGGGGCUAGCGUUGUUCGGAAUUACUGGGCGUAAAGCGCACGUAGGCGGAUCGGUCAGUUAGGGGUGAAAUCCCAGGGCUCAACCCUGGAACUGCCUUUAAUACUGCCGGUCUGGAGUUCGAGAGAGGUGAGUGGAAUUCCGAGUGUAGAGGUGAAAUUCGUAGAUAUUCGGAGGAACACCAGUGGCGAAGGCGGCUCACUGGCUCGAUACUGACGCUGAGGUGCGAAAGCGUGGGGGGCAAACAGGAUUAGAUACCCUGGUAGUCCACGCCGUAAACUA